Molecule: RNA transcript, 1031 nt
Organism: Manduca sexta (tobacco hornworm)
Lineage: Eukaryota; Metazoa; Arthropoda; Insecta; Lepidoptera; Sphingidae
Exons: 6
Source: RefSeq, a predicted model, not a curated record
AUAUCAGAAAUUGCCGCGGGUGGCGAACGUCGCGUCGUCCGUAAUCAAGAACAAAAUCUUUGUGUUGUUACUUGUGGUGGUUGUUAGAUUGUUCACAUGUUCACACAGGAUCAUAAUUUAUAAGAAAAUGUACACACGAACCGCCAUCCUCCUGGUUCUGGCACUGUCAGUGCCCAGUCACGAACAGGACACGCCCCCGUCCCCCUGCCCUGGCGUGUUUGAGUACCAGAAGCCAGGAUCAGAGACAGGCAAAUGGGAAGGCGUUGUGCACCUCACCUCAGAUGUCCAGCUUUACUCGGUGUUUCUUAACAUAAUUCUGACUGAGAAGGCUCAGUUACUCGGGAACUGGUUAGCGGAGUCGACAACGCAAGACAACAAACAGUUUAGAAUAGAGUCCACUGAAUUGGUAAUAUCACCAGCGGCGCCUCUUGAUUUCAAAUUUUUCGUCAGAUUCGACCCUCUCAGCAAGAUUCCACUGCUGCAGUCAAUUAAAUUUAAUGGGCAGGAAAUUUGCAAUGCAGCUGUUACUACAGAGUCCUCAAGCGAAAAACCUGCACCGCCACCACCGCUGAUACCCCAAGACUCCUUUGAGACCAAACCAAUAAAAACAAUCAGAUAAUAACGAAGUAACUGGGGGCGGCGUGUAUGUACCAGGACCACCUGUAGGACUUCCAACUAUUAUAGGUGGCGGUGUUCCCACAAAUGAAAAGGGGACAUGUGGUAUGGUUUUUGCAAGUACCACGCUUAUACGAAAGGGGAUGGCAACCGGGGAAGCAGAAUGGCCGUGGCAUAUCGCUCUUUACCUCACCGAGAACACGGACAAUGCAUUCACCUGCGGAGGUACCCUGGUAUCGCAUCUUCAUAUCAUCACGGCAGCGCACUGCGUCACUCGGAAGGAAUCGCGUCGGAUCUGGGACAUAAACAGAUUCCACGUGUUGCUAGGGAGACACAACUUGGAGGGAUCAGCCGAAGGCGCCCAGUUACGAUUUGUAAGUAAUUGUUCCUGCGUAAUAUGCCACCUAUAUCUAUGU